GAUGAACGCUGGCGGCGUGCCUAAUACAUGCAAGUCGAGCGAACGGACGAGAAGCUUGCUUCUCUGAUGUUAGCGGCGGACGGGUGAGUAACACGUGGAUAACCUACCUAUAAGACUGGGAUAACUUCGGGAAACCGGAGCUAAUACCGGAUAAUAUUUUGAACCGCAUGGUUCAAAAGUGAAAGACGGUCUUGCUGUCACUGAUAGAUGGAUCCGCGCUGCAUUAGCUAGUUGGUAAGGUAACGGCUUACCAAGGCAACGAUGCAUAGCCGACCUGAGAGGGUGAUCGGCCACACUGGAACUGAGACACGGUCCAGACUCCUAGGGGAGGAAGCAGUAGGGAAUCUUCCGAAAUGGGCGAAAGCCUGACGGAGCAAAGCCGCGUGAGUGAUGAAGGUCUUCGGCUCGUAAAACUCUGUUAUCAGGGAAGAACAUAUGUGUAAGUAACUGUGAACAUAUUGACGGUACCUAAUCAGAAAGCCACGGCUAACUACGUG
RNAcentral lists this ribosomal RNA (497 nucleotides) under uncultured bacterium. RNAcentral describes it as "partial 16S ribosomal RNA". It matches the Rfam family "Bacterial small subunit ribosomal RNA", at positions 28 to 507 of the family's 1533-position model. The record is from RNAcentral.